UUCCAGACUCCUACGGGAGGCAGCAGUGGGGAAUAUUGGGCAAUGGGCGCAAGCCUGACCCAGCAACGCCGCGUGAAGGAAGAAGGCUUUCGGGUUGUAAACUUCUUUUAAGAGGGAAGAGCAGAAGACGGUACCUCUUGAAUAAGCCACGGCUAACUACGUGCCAGCAGCCGCGGUAAUACGUAGGUGGCAAGCGUUGUCCGGAUUUACUGGGUGUAAAGGGCGUGUAGCCGGGCUGACAAGUCAGAUGUGAAAUUCCGGGGCUCAACCCCGGACCUGCAUUUGAAACUGUUGGUCUUGGGUAUCGGAGAGGCAGGCGGAAUUCCUAGUGUAGCGGUGAAGUGCGUAGAUAUUAGGAGGAACACCAGUGGCGGAGGCGGCUUGCUGGGCUUUUACUGACGCUGAGGCUCGAAAGUGUGGGGAGCAAACAGGAUUAGAUACCCCCGUA
RNAcentral lists this ribosomal RNA (448 nucleotides) under uncultured bacterium. Its description in RNAcentral is "bacterial SSU rRNA". It matches the Rfam family "Bacterial small subunit ribosomal RNA", at positions 329 to 792 of the family's 1533-position model. The record is from RNAcentral.